RNAcentral lists this ribosomal RNA (274 nucleotides) under uncultured bacterium. RNAcentral describes it as "partial 16S ribosomal RNA". It matches the Rfam family "Bacterial small subunit ribosomal RNA", at positions 523 to 796 of the family's 1533-position model. The record is from RNAcentral.
AUACGGAGGGGGCAAGCGUUGUUCGGAAUUACUGGGUGUAAAGAGUACGUAGGCGGAUCGUUAAGUUAGAGGUGAAAUCCCAGGGCUCAACCCUGGAACUGCCUUUAAUACUGGCGAUCUAGAGAUCGCGAGAGGUGAGUGGAAUUUCCAGUGUAGAGGUGAAAUUCGUAGAUAUUGGAAAGAACACCAGUGGCGAAGGCGGCUCACUGGCUCGAUACUGACGCUGAGGUACGAAAGCGUGGGGAGCAAACAGAAUUAGAAACCCUAGUAGUCC